UGAGAACUCUCUCCUUUGUAACACCUACGGCGAGUACUUCUUGCACAAAGCAAGCAGAGCAGGAUUCUGUUCUUGCACAUCAAGUAAAUCCAGUAAACCAGAUGCAGUAGAUGCGUCUGCUGCAAAGCCGCGACCAAACAUUUCAUCUAGGAGUACACCUGCUUCAUAGUAAUUCUUAUUCUGUAAACAACCGCGAAUAAGCAUGUUGUAUGUGACAUCAUUAGGCAAGCAAUCAUCAGCUUCCAUUUCCCUGAAUAGUUCAUUUGCUUCAUCCAAUAACCCUUCAUUACAAUAUGCUUGGAUCAUCACUGUGUAUGUCUUGACAUUAGGUCGCAAACCUUUCGCAGGAAGGUUGUCAAAAAGGCUUCUUGCAUUCUCGAGAUGUCCAUUUUUGCUCAGUCCAUCCAUCAGAAUAGUGUAAACAUGUAUAUCAGGAACUAGCCCACGGGAUUCCAGUAUUUGAAAGAAGGAUAGUGCUUCAAAUACAUAACAAUUCUGGCAAAGACCAUGCAACAAGAUAUUGCAUGUCACUAUAUCUAACUCAACACCUUCGUUAAUCAUCUUUUCCUUAAAAAAUUUACGUGCUUCAACAUGUCUACCCGCAUAAAAAAAACCUUGCAGUAUAGUACUGUAAGUCUCAAUAGUUGGGGCUAAACCUUUAGAGGGCAUCUGUUGAAAAAGAGCUAUUGCUCUGUCCACUUUCAUCUUUCUACAGUACCCGUUGAUCAGAAUAUUAUAGCUAAGAGCAUUAGGCAGUAUUCCCUUUCUCGCCAUGCUUUCGAACACUGCUAAAGCUUUAUCAACCUCUCCCCUCAAGCAGUAUCCAUCCAUGAGUGAGCUGUAAGUGACUACAUCAGGAUCUACUCCUUUUUGAAUCAUCAACUCUAUCACAUCCUCUGCAUCUUUAACCAUUCCUUCUUUGCAAUACGCAUCAACCAAUAUAUUGUAAGUAAAAUCAUUUUGAGAAAUGUUCCUAACAUCCAUCUCCUUGAGCAAUUGUUUGACAUCAUGCCAACGAUUAACGUCACACAGACCUUGAACUAAAGAGUUGUAGGUUAUAACAUCUGGAGAUAUGCCCCUGAUGAGGCAUAUCUUGGGAAAUAAGGCCCCUGAUGAGAGUGGUAUAAGUAACCACACUUGGCACAAAACCGAGCUUGAUGAUUCCAGCCAAUAGUGAAAAGGCAAAAUCGACGCGAUUCAAGUGACAAAAGCAGUUAAUGAGAGUAUUAAAGGUAAUGACAUUAACAGGGAUGCUUUCUACACGCAUCUUUCUAAAAAGGGAGACAGCUACGGAGUAGUGUUUCAUUUUAACAAGGGCAGCUAAUAGUUGAGUGAAGUCGAUAACAGUAGGCGAGGCUUCAUAAGGAGCAUUUUAUCAAACAGUCGAAGAGCGGCAAGAAGUAAAUGUUGAAGACGAGCGUGAGAUGGAUCAGAGGAAUAAGGGAAACGGGGUUUGGGUUUAAAGGGAAUAUUAGGGUUAGGGUUAGUGGAGAAGUGAGAAACUGCAAUAACAGAAUGUCUUAGGAAUCGAGAAUUUGAGAUGACAAAUUUCUUCAUCGUCGUCAUCAUCAUGAUAUCUAUACUUGUUGGACACUCAAAAAAUUAGCCGGCAGAGCAGAGCAGAUGAUAUCAAUUCUUUUCAAUAGUGAUCGAAACUGAAUCACAGUGAAAACGGCGAAAACUUAGAACUAAUCAACAAGAAACAAAACAAACAACACUUGGCAGUUUUUCGUAAAACAGAAGGAAGGAACUCAUCACCCAUUUUAAUGGUAUUAACCCUAACUCGAACGUGUUUUACUCCCAUGCAAACUUGAACCAUGUAUAUCUCUUUUUAAUUUUAACGUAUUUAUUUCAAAACAAAACAAACAACUAAGUCUAUAAAAGAUAAAUAAUAUAUUUUUUCUUAUAAAUGAUGAAAUUUAAAUUAUGAUAUAAAUAUUUAUUAAAAAACAGAUUAUCACAUAUGUAUAGGGCUGUAAAAUGAACCGGGUGAUCCCGGGUACUCCUCUCCUCAAGUACCGGAUCAUAUUAUUUUUAGCUUGUCCAGAUUUGGGUUCGGGAUCGUUUUAUUCGGGUAUAAACCGAUCCCGAGUAUUUGAGAUUCGGAUCUGAACCGGAUAUGAUCCAGUAUCGUAUUUUCUAUUUUUUAACCGGGUAGUUUAUAAUCCAUCAAAUAUGAGCCGGAUAUGAUCCACUAACAUCAAAUAUCAUUAUUAUUUCAGUUGUUCAAAUAAUUAUCAUUUAGUUUAAGUAAACAUAAUAUUAUAAAGUAUAAUAGUUUUGAAUUAAAACUUAUAGUUAUGUGUUGGUAUAUAUCAUUUAUUAAAUAUAUAUGAAGAUAAUAAGCAUGAUCACAUUAAAUAAAUCAUAUUUUAUGAAGAUAUAAACUUAAAUAAGAUAUUACAAUUUUAUAAAAUGAUGACUAUUUACUUGCAAAUGUGUUGGUGUUAAAAUAUAAUAUGUAUAUGAGUUUGAAUCGAAUAUGAACCGUGGAUCAUGUUCGGUUAUUCGGGUAGGAUCAUAUUAUGAAAAAUUAUAUGAGCCUGAAUCUGAGCGGGUAUAGGUGUGCUCGUAUCCGGGAUCAUAUAUUAUACGGGCUUAAUUUUUCCGCCAAAUUUGGAUCGUUUUCAAAACGGAUAUGAGACAUGUAUCAUAUUUUCGAGCCGGAUAUGAGUCGAGACACCGGAUAGUCCGUAUCGAUUUACAGCCAUACAUAUGUAUAUUAGAAAAACAUUUACAGAUAAAUAAUAAAAACACUUUAUUAAUUAUAUUAUGUAAUAACAAUAUGUAUAAAAAUACUGUAAAAGUUAAAUUUGUAAGAGAAAAUAUAAUCAAGUCUAAUAUGAUAUAAUCAAACUUCAAUUCAUUAUCAUACAACCGGACAUGCAAAAAAUGACCGCAUCCAAUAGUACUAAACAAAUAAUAAAUAAGGUUAAAUAUUAAAGGGAAAAUAUAUAUUUUUUGUUACUCAAGUUAUUGUGUAUUUAGAAAUUUACCACCAACUGUAAAUUUUUUUAAUUUACUCAUUGAUGUUAGAUUCAGAUUAUUCUUUUUGUCACUAAAGUUAAGUUCGCCUUUGAUUAUUAAUAUUACUAGCCUAUAACCCGUGCGAAGCACGGGCGACCAUAUUAUUUCUUUUUUUUUAUUUGUAAGCUUAAUAUCAUUUUUUGUGUUUUAUUAUUAAUUUAAUAUAAUGGUAUUAAAUUAUAUUAACUGAUUGGUUAUAUUCACUUUUGAAAGUUUGGCUUGUACAAUAUUUUUCUCUAUUAUAAAAUAUUUUUAAGCAUAAUAAAAAAGUACAAUGGCAAUACGAUUUAGCAAUAACAUGAACAGCUUAAUGAUUGAUCACAAUCAUUUACAAACCAUCCAAAUGUAAAAAUAUCUCUAAUUCUUACUCACAUUAUGGUCAAUUUCAGAUACAUAAAUGGUGCAACGAAUAUUUUCAUCUCUUUGAGACUUAAAAGUUUUCCACUUAUCCGCUUCCUUCCCCAAGUUAGUUCUUCUCUAUUGAAACAAAAUUCGAAAACUAAAAUAUAAAUCAUAUUGACAUUGUAUAAAAAAUACUUUUAAUCACCGAAAAGGCCUCAGCAAUCUCAUGCGAACCAUGGAAGAAAUCUCCUCCGCAGCAAAUUGCUUAUCCUCACCUUUGUAAGAUACAGUACUAAAAAAUUUCACUAUAUUUCAAUAUAAUUCAGAUCCUAAAAAAUUAAAAAAUAAUUGCUUUUUUUAAGUAGAUGAGGACACUUAACUCACAAAACAGAGUCAAAUGAAUGCCACUUCAUUCUUCAAGUCCUGUUCAAAACUUGGCAAAGGAGCAUUCCUUUGGGAGGUUGUUUUCAAAUCUCUUAUUAUCUUGGCAAUAAUCAUAUAUGAGAUGAUAUUUUCUCACCAACUUGAACCACCUUCUUUGUGUCUGGCUUAAUGACCUAAACCUCUCCUUAUGCUAUCAAUUUGUCAAGCUUUCUCUGCAAAACCUUGCAUUCCCUUUCCACACACAAGCAUCAAUCUGAUAGUUCCUGAAUGAGGUAUUGAAGGGACCCUUUGACCAAUUAAUACGUUCUGCUAUCCUAUAGGCUCACUUUAAUGCUCAUUGGUUGCCACAUUGGAUAUUCAACUCCCUUGUCAGCAUAGUUCCUGCAUGUUCUUAUGGGAACAAAAUCCACCAUGAACCUACACCGAGUACAAAUAAAUAGAUUAGUACAAAUAAAUAGAUUGCUUAUAUGCUUGUGCAUCAUUUUCUGAGAUUAUACAUAUAAUCACAAAAAAAUUCAUCGUUUGAAAAUUCACUUACACAAUUUGGUAAAGAUUCCAGAGGAUGGAGUAUGUUUGAAAAUCCUUCGUCGGGUCAAACCACAAAUAUAUCCUUUCUUCUCUAUUGUCAAAGCCAUCAGCAAAAAUAUUGGUCUGAAGUAUGUAAGGCUGCCCGUACACAUUUCCAAGUAACUCAAAAUCUAUUUCAUCGUGAUUAGGCUGAUCACAUGUAAGCUGCAAUCACAAAGACAUUCUUAUCUAUAUUUCUCAAAUUGUGAGUUCUUAGGGGACAUGUCACAAUGUCCAUCAUGUGAUUUCAUCAGUAAUGUGCAUAUGCUAGCUUAACAUGAUGUACUACAUUCACUGUUAUAUUACAUAUAUUGUGUAUGUAGAAACAUGGCCAGUUAAAAAGGUGAGUUGCAGGAUUUAUUUGUCAUCUGCAAUCUAGGAGUAAUUAGCUUUACUCAAAUAUAAAUACACAAACUCUCCCACCUUGUGAGGUAUAAGGGCUUCAGUAUUAUCAUAGCCUAUUAUCUCUGUAGCCAAAUUAUAUGUCCAUCACAUUUGAUGUUUCGUCUGCUCCCGCUCCUAAUGAUGCACACUCUGUCCGGACAACCACUCACACCUAAGUUGUUAUAUAAUUGACCUGGUCUUCUCGAUUUGGAUCAACUUUAGCUGCCGAGUGAGAAUUGGGUACUUGGGAGAUUCUCCUAAAAAAUCAGUUGAGAUGCGGAUAGCUCUUUUUUUCGGACCUGGCUUGCGAAUUCCAUGACAUUGGAAUAUUAGUUAUACAUUUGUAGUUAUAUGGGCUAUGGACAGUAGAGCACCUUCAGGACCAUGUCAAGAAAUUUACUCAGAUUUGGGUGAUUAGUCCCUGCAUCUAUGAAUUAGCACCAAAUACAGUAAUACUUGGACCUAUUUACUAUGAUACUAUAUAUGAGAGAAAAUCUACAGAAUACCAAUCACACAUCAGAAAAUAUAGAAAACACUUGAAACUUCAAACUUCUUGCUGGACGCAGCAUUGACACCAAAACAUGAUAGGAUUUCAGCCUUUAGACUAAAUACCACGAAACUAAUCAACUUACAACCAGUUUAUAAAAUUACAUUCCUUCGCAAUCAUUGCAUAGAUAUUAAAGACCAAAAUAUGAGAUCUUCAUUGCACAUAGAUAAAAAGAUGCUGCAAAGCACAUUUACCUGAAUUUCACCACAUACAUAUUAAAGACCAAGAUAUGAGAUCUUCAUUGCAUAUAGAUAAAAAGAUGCUGCAAAGCACAUUUACCUGAAUUUCACCACAUACAAAUUAAAGACCAAGAUAUGAGAUCUUCAUUGCAUAUAGAUAAAAAGAUGCUGGCAAGCAUAUUUACCUGAAUUUCUCACAUAUGCAAGAUGUACUGACCACACAAGAAUUUAUCACCUGAACAUAAAAUCAGAAAAAAAAUAAAAUUAUCAUGCUACUGCGAUCUAGAAAGUAUAGAGGAGACCCCUGCUACCUGAAUAGCAAAAAGAACAGCAAUAAAUAAAUAAAAAUGAGCAAUGAGUUCUGCACUUCAGUUAUAGCAUUAUAUAAAAGACUGCUGCAGAAAAUAAAAUUAAAGAAAGUUAAGGAGUAAAAGACCUAUAAGAAAUUAUCAACCAGGCUACUCAUAGUGAUAAGAACUGAAUUCACACCAUAUAACAACUUCAUAUUGAGAAGAGAGAAAGCAUACCUAUUCUAGCGCUCUCGGUUCCACAACUACCCCAUCAGAUUCUCUAUCUCCAAACUCAACAUCUACAAACUCAACAGUCAUGAUAUAUUAUUCCUUGCUUCAGUCUUUCUCAAUUUUAUUAGAUCAUCUUCAGCACUCUUUAUAGGCAUACAUGGGUGCAUUGAGAAUAACUAACCUACUCCAUUAUCAAUCAUAUUCUUCCCUAGGUCCCCUGUACCACCAAAUGAAGACCCCCGAUCAAAACCUCCGUGUAUAUAUACAAUUUAACCAAUGAAAACAAAAGGACUUGUAAAAUGGAAUUUAAAAAGUCUUUUAACCGUAACAAUCAAUAAACUGGAAAAAUAGAGUCCCUUAUUAACUUAAAAAUAUUUUAAUUUUAAUUCCAAGCCACCAAAAUGAGCAAAGCACAGAGGAGCCUAAUAAUUAUAAAAUGAAAUGGAGAGAUUUCAGAGAUGACACGUCAUCCUCUGAAGAUCCUCCUUUAUAUAUAUAUAAGAUAAGAUUAAUAUUUCUACAACAUAGGACAUUUGCACCAGAUCCAAUAGGUCAGAAGGUAACAUAAUACCUGUAAAACUUGAACACCAGUCCAUUAACAGCCUCGUACAUAAGCCAACAACUUUAAUUUGUCAAUUAUUUUUAAUCAUAGAUAUCCGUCAUAUAUAAAUACAUAUUGAAAAAAAGAUCACAAACCUUUAUCACCAAAACAAACUUUAUGAAAUUCUCUGCAGACCAACCAAAACAAAGCAUACAGUAUACAACUAACAAAGCAUACAGUAUAGGUAACAAUCCUUUAAUGAAUACACGAGUUUCAAGUUAAUUUGGUAUAGUUAUUAACAAAAAGCAGUACCAUUUUAUGAAUGUGGAUAUAUUGGUGCUCUAAUACAGCCGAGUGAGGGUCUGAACCCACUCAUACAUCCAAGAAAAAAAAAAUUAGCACAAAAGAGUGUUACAAGUUUUUAAACUCAUUUUCCAGAUUGAUAACCUUCUCUUGUGACGCCAAAGAUUCAAGUAAUAGCAGCAGGACCAGAAGAAGAAUUAGGCAACAACUCUCUGUGACUCUCUCCGAUCACAUAAUCAAUUUCCAGCUGCUGGAAUACUAACAAUACAGUUCAUAAAUUAACAGCAGCUGAACAAAUCAUUUACUCGCAGAUGUUCGCAAAGUGUGAGAUAUAUCCAAUAUUAAUUAUAAAAAUAUGUAUAUGAAAUGCCUUGAAAAUCAAAAUGAUAUAAACAACAAAGAUGAAAUUAUCAAUCCUUAUAAGCAACUAAAUUACUGAACUUAAGAUAAAUAAACAAUGGAUAACAAAGAAAGCCAGUUAUUUAGAACACAGAGAACUCAUAUUCAUAUAUAUGUAUCCCGAAUAUACCUUCAGAGGAGAUGAAUUAUGUAGUGUUCUUGAGAGAUGGAAUGAAAAGUAGCACAGGAGCUCGCCGAGAUGAAGAGAGAGACAGCAGGCUAUGGUGAUAGGCUCUUGUAAUUCUACUCUGUCCCUCAAUCAUUUUUAAAAAAUCAGAUAAAUGGUGAGGUUUUUUUCGUGAAGGAGCCGACAAAAUCGAUGGAUUGAUACUAUAGACUACAGGUUGCAGAGAACAGUACUUACUUCAUGAAUACCUGCAGAGAAACAAAAAGCAAAUGCAAUUAGGGACGAGUUUAAGUGAGUAAAGGUAAGAAUGAGGAGAGACAGAGAUAGAAUUACCGAAGUGAGAAUAGGCGAAGUAAUAGUCGGCGCUUGUCUGGUCGGCGCCGAUGAUAGAGCCGUCGAGGCCACACAUGGCAGAAUCCUCUUCGAGAAUGGAGCUACCUGUUGUGGUUCCUUCCAAUUCAUUGUCCUCCUCGUCCUCAAAUUUUAUUUUUGAGAGCUUCUAUGAAGUAUUCAUAUCCUAGGGUUUAUCUGUGUUCAGGGUUUUCGAUUCCAAUUGAGAGCCGCUCUUGUUUGUCAAAUGUUUUAUGUAGUAUUUGGUUUUUCUUCAAAGUCGAUCUCUGUUGGGAAUAGGAGACGUAGUCUAAUGAUGACAAAAAAAUAGGACGAAAAAUGUAGUACGAAACCAAAAAACGUGAACAAAAAGUACGACCGCAAAUUAUACCCAUGUUGGCUUAUUAUAGUAUAGUAUAGAUUUAUAUUCUUUAUAGCAUUAUUAAAAUAUAAUGGUAAUCUGAAAUAUUUUAAUGAUGUGAUAUUUGUCUAUAUUUUUAUAUAUAUUACUUAGUUGUUAUAUACCCAAAAUUGUUUAUCUUAGGUGAUAAGAGUUUCACAAGCAUUGUACGGCUUCUAAAAAAUGUAGUUUAAAAUCCCCAUAAUAUAUUGUUCACACAGAAAGUAAUUUUUGGAUAAAUAUAGUGCACAAAUGGCUUCAAAUAUAUGUUUUAGAGUGUGAUAGUAUGGUCAUCUCGGUAACUGAAAAGAGCCGGCAUGAAGGAGAAAAGUAACACAAAGACUUGCAAAUGCUGCCUCUCACCUAAAUAAAAUAAGCUGGAUGCAUCUUUUAAACAUAGUUUAAAGGAAGCAUAUUUUUUCGUGACAAGGAUAAACAUUAUAAUCAUAAACAUUGUCUGCACAAGGCCAUAGUUUGUGUUUUACAUCGAAGAUAAGAAUCUUAUAGAGUCAAAUCAAACUUGUAAGUUUGCAUGCAAUUCUAUUCUAACAUUCUUACAUAAUAUUUGGCAAGUCUGUGUCAUUAAAAUUUACUGGAAAUGAAAGUGUUUGCAUAUCUUUACACAAAAUGUGUAGAAGUAAAUUGUAAAAAGUUGUAAUUAUAUAUCAUUGUGUGACACCUGCACAUUAAAAUAUCUCAUCUAGUUCAGGAACAACCCGUACACAUUGGGGACAACACAUGUUAGUGUGUUGCUUGGUAGAUUUUGAGAUAAAUCAGUGUUAAACAUUUCAGAUUUAUUUGUAAAAAACUGCAUUCGUAAUGACUAUUUACAUCCUUCUCACUGGAAUCUUUACCUCGGAGAUUGAUUUGAUAGAAAGCUCUUUUGCAUAGGUCUCAUUUGCAGUACAUACUGCUUUGCAGUAGGAGCCAAUAAGGAGUCUGUCUUGCCAUUUGAUCUAUCUUUGAGGGCGUUCAAAGGUGCGUAAUCAACAUUAAAGUAUGAUGAUCCUUGUUGCAUCUGUGCUUGACAAUGUAUCAUUGUGGGUGAGUCUGCAAUGUUAGCAGUAAAUAAUUGGUUACAACUAUACCAUUAGAAAAAAGCAUUUGAGUUGUUGGUGUUCAUAUUAUAACAUGUGUAAUUAAAGUUUAAUAUUUUACGAGACUUGUAGACAUCUUGGUGAGUUGGAUUAUUGAGCCUGUCACCUGAUAAUUUUUUGCCAGCAGUCUAGUAAUGACAACAAAAGUAGCCCUCUCUUCCACGUCCAUGAUUAAAGUCAUGGAUCGGAGUUUAUCAACUGAGAUGAGUUAAGUACUUUACAAAAUGAUAUGUUUUGUUAGCAAGAAACAUGUAAACCACCGUAAUGAGAUUAUUAGUUGUUAAGAAAUUAUAAUUACCAGAACGAGAAACCAACACAGUAAGAAAUUAGGGAUAAGCAUCAGAUUCAAGCAAAUUAUAUCUCAGUGUUUCUCAGUGUCACUGUUAGCUUGUGACUUGAUGCUUAAAGUUUAGGGUAAUUACAUCUUCUUCUGAUUAUUAGCACUUAUUUAAACUAAUUGUGAUAUUUAUUUAUAGCUCCAUAUACAAGUUUCCGUGCUCAAUCUCCAGGACUUGUUUGGGAACAGGAUGUUUGUUACGCUUGUCCGACAUCACAAGUUAGGUCGUGCGCCAAAAUUGCUUUUAUGAACUUAUCUUGAUUAAAUGACUUACUUUAAAUAUUAUGGCUUGUUAUUUCUUAAUGUACAGGCAAUGCUUAUCGACUUUUUAAAAUUUCUUCUCCAGACCAAACGCAGAAAAUCACACAUAUCGAGGAUGGACGGAUAAAAGCAUCCCGAAAAGAUUAUAAUAUAGGUUGUACCAAUUUAUAAUUUAAUAUUUAUGAUAUCUUCAAAUUUUACUCCAAACUACAGCCUAAUUAUUUCCUAACAAGUUAGGAUAUCUAAAUUCAUUCCUUAAAAAGUAGCAGUUCCAAAUUAUAAUUUAAAAAUUACGAUAUUUUUAAAUAUCAAUCCAAACUACAUCUUAAUUAUUUCUUCAUACGUUAGAAUAUUUAAAUUCAUUCCUUAAAAAGUACAAGUUCCUUAUCUUAUGUUUAAGAAUAAAAUAUUCAUUUUCUUCUUCUUUUCACUUUUUCCCUCCACAUUGCUUCCCUUGUAAUAGACUUUGAUUUUAAAUAUAUAUAAUAAUAAUAGGGAGUAUAAGAAUUGUUGUAUGUAAUUUAGUAUAAAUUCUAAUCUAUUGCAAGUUAAAUUUAUUAUGCUUAAGAAUAAAAUAUUUAUUUUCUUCUUUUUCACUUUCUUCUGUCCUUGUUUCACAUUUUUUUCUUUCUAAUGGAGUUUGAUUAUAAACAUAUAAAAAUAGCAAAGAGUACAAGAAUUGUUCGAAUUGUAAUUUAAUAUAAUAUCCUAAUCUACUUUGAUUUAAAUUUAUUAUUAUAUAUUUAAGAACUUGCUGGGGGAUCGCCCUUAGAGAUCCGGUAUGUCAGAUUCAUACGCGGGUUUUUUCUUUUAAAACUUGAGGUAUUUGAUUGGAGUGUUUUAUUAUUUAUUUUAUUCGUAUAGCAAACUGAAACGGAAUACUUCAGCAUUGUCAACUAGAGCAUAGAAUUUCAAAAACUUAUGAAAAGCAUACCAGGGAAACUUGAGGUUACGAGAUCCUGCACCUUAUUCUAAAAAAAACAACAAAAAAGUUCCACCCAGCUGACUUUAAAGACCUGGGCAGACUAGUCUGAUCAGCCGUUCAAGUUCUUUAUCUGAGAGCACUGGCCAAAUGAAGGUUUCUGCAAUGCACUGAGAAGUCUGCAGACAUCAGAAUCAGAUUACCUCAACUAAGGUCAUCAGACAUCAGUAUCUAAAAGUAGUGAAGAAGAGAAAUUAGAAACGGGUUAAUUAUCAAGUUAGUCACUGAAAUGAACUUAAUGUAUCAAGUUGGCCACUGAACUCAAAACGGUAUCAAGAUGAUCACUAAAGUCACCAUAAAUAUCAAACAAGUACCUUGAAAUAUGAGUUCAAAUAAUAAAAAUAUUAUUUAUAAAGUUUUAUACAUUAUUUUUACAUGUUACCACAACCAACUAUAAGGUUAUGACUUCUAGUAUUUAAAAUAAUAUAUAUUUAUAUUUUAUCAAAUUUAUUUAUUAUUUAUAUUUUAUUAUAUAAUUAUUUUCUUUGUUUUAUUUAAAAAUAAAUAAUAAAUAAAUUUAAUAAAAUCUAAAUAUAUUAUGAUAUAUAUUAGAAGUCAUAACCUUUUACUUGGUUUUGAUAACAUUCAAAAAUAAUGUGUAAAACUUUAUAAAUAAUAUUUUUAUUGCUUGAAUUCAUAUUUUAAGGUACUUAUUUGAUAUUUAUGGCCACUUCAGUGACCAUCUUGAUACCGUUGAUACCGUUUUGAGUUCAGUGACCAACUUGAUAUAUUAUGCCCACUUCAGUGACCAAUUAGAUAAUUAACCCAAUUAGAAACCUAUGACCAGUGACAGAUUAUAGGGUGCACAAGACAGUCACUGCAAGCAAGGAACUGGUUCCACCUUCCUCAUUGGCAAGGCUUCAUAAAGCCACAAAAAGAUCAUCGCUCUCCCUGAUGAAAGAUGGAACCAAAUCUGUUCUGAGGAUUGAAUAAUUUGUCGGGUACCUCUUCUUCCUAUCAUAUAUGUACUCAAUAGUCAAUACACUUCCUUACUGCAUAACAAAAAGAAACCAGUCAUCAAGCUUUCCCUAUUGCAUAACAAAAAAACCAAGAAUCAAGCAUUCGGAUCGAAAUCAAAAAACAUAUAUAAAAACCUUUUCUCCCUCCCCAAUCCCCAUGAUCAAAUUCAUGAGCUCGAAACCUCACUCUCCCCCGAAAUACUUAAUAAAAUAAUCCAUUAAAAUAUAUGUAACAAAUCCAUUAAUUGAUUUUGCAGUUUUUUUUCUUUUUUUUUUGCUAAAUCUCUUUAGUUGUUUUGGCAGUUUUGAUUAUACAAUUUCAACUCAGUAGCUUAGUAUUUGAAAUGGACUACUAUCAAGCAGCAUUGAUAAAACUGGUAACUGAAGUAACUAUGGAAAGUAAGCCAUACACAUACAAGCUCUUUAUCUCAUUUCGUUGAUAAUUCAAAACUGCAAUUAAGCUAUAUUAAGUCUUUUAGUUAUUUCACAUAAUAAAGACAUUAAGAUAAAAAAAUCUAUAAACAAAAAGUCAAUGUAGUGCAGAGAAGCUCCAUUCUUAAAUUUAAAUUCAACAAAAUUAUAUCAAAAUAACACCCAAUCAUUUGUAAUCAGUCAGACAAGAACUGCAAAUUUAACGACGACAUUUGAAAUGAAUACUGCCAGGGUAGCAGACCCUAGAAAUUAAAAUGUUGGCAAAUUGAAAAUUAUGUACCUUCGCAAUCUCUCACUCUGUUAGACCUAUGGCAAAUACUUAUUAUGCAGAGCAAGAAAAGCAGGUUCCUGUUCUUGUGAUUUAAGUAGGAAAUUUCCGUGCUUGCACCUGUCUGCAUGUACGAAAAUAACCUUGCAAUAUAGUGCGUUAAAUCUGAAUAGUUGGUGUCAAAUCUUGAAAAAUGCUGGCGAAAUCAAAAAGUGGGCCCUCUCUUUCUUUGUCACACCUAUGGAAAGUACUUCUCACGCAAGGCAAGGAGAGGAGCAUCCGGUUCAUGCACUUCAAUUUAGUCUAGUAACGCAGAUGCCGUAGAUGCAUCUGCUGCAAACCGACGACCAAGCAUUUCAUCUAGGAGUACACCUGCUUCACAGUAAUUCUUAUUCUGUAAACAACCGCGGAUAAGCAUGUUGUAUGUGACAUCAUUAGGCAAGCAAUCAUUAGCUUCCGUUUCCCUGAAUAGUUCAUUCGCUUCAUCCAAAAACCCUUCAUGAAAAUAUGCUUCGAUCAUCACUGUUUAUGUCUUGACAUCAGAUCGUACACAUUUCAUAGAAAGGUUAAAAAGGCUUCUUGUGUUCUCCAGAUGUCCAUUUUUGCUUAGUCCAUCAAUCAGAAUAGUGUAAACCUGUAUAUCAGGAAUCACAAGUUAGUUAAGCUUAUUGUGAUACUUGUUUAUGGCUACAUAUUGAAGUUUUAGUGCUCAAUCUCCGGGAGAACAUGUUUGCUUGUUUGGGAACAGGUUUAGGUUUCUGUUAUUUAUUUGAAUCAGGCAAGUGGUUUUUAGUAGUACUGAUAAAUUAGUCUGAUGCAAGUCCGAAUAACAACAUUGCAAAUACUUUAACUGAGAAGCAGCCCAAUGUAGUACUGUACAGAGGGGCACAAGGCUAGUGAACAAAUAGCUGGCAGAGUGCUUAUAGACUUGCCUUGAUUAGAAGACUUUAGUUUAACUAUUCGCACUUGCAAUUUCUUAACAUUUAGUCAAUGCUUAUCAGCUUCUUCAUAUCUCUGCUUGAGAACUUAAAACACAGAAACACAAAUAUUUAAGAUGGAAGGAAAAGAAACUUGGUAUGUUAGAUUCAUGUGCCGGUAUUUUCUUGGAGAAAAGUUGGCAUGUUUUGCCUUUUCGUGUACUAUGCAUCCAUCAGAAUUUACAUGUAUAAACAACAGGGCUAGCAGUUGAACAAAAAUUCAUACAGGAACCAUUUGAUCGAAUAUCAUAACAAGAAAUAAAGGUCUUAUUUCGAGAUUUUAACUAAGCAAAAGAAGCGGAUAAUCAAGCUAUUAAAAUCCAGAUUAGAAUUAUAUGAAGCAAUUAUUGCCAGAAUUUCUUACACAAAGCAGGAAGAGCAGGAACCUGUAUUUCAAUUCAAGUAAUCUCAGGUCCAAGGACAUUGAAAUGCAUCUCCGGAGCCUUGAGCACACAUUGCUUCUACAAGUACAAUUGCUUCACUAUACUUCUUAUUGUGAAAACAGCCGUGGACAAGUGUUUUGUAGGUAGCAUUAGGCAAGCAAAUACUAGCUUCCAUUUUCACAAAAAGUUUAUUAGCUUCAUCCAGUAACCCCCCUUGACAAAAUGUGUAAAUAUUGACAAAAUGUCAAUCUUUGCUUCCACAUGCCUGCCUGUAAAAAAAAACAUUGCAAUAUAGUUCUUUAAAUCUCAAAUGUUGGUUUUAAACCUUCAAAAUGUUGUCAAAAUCGAGAAGAUUAUGUACCUGGGCACUCUCUUUCUCUGUCACACUUACGGAAAGUACUUCUCACGCAAGGCAAGGAGAGUAGGAUCCGGUUCUUGCACUUCAAGUAAGUCUAGUAACACAGAUGUUGUAGAUGCAUCUGCUGCAAAGCGGCGACCAAGCAUUUCAUCUAGUAGUACAUCUGCUUCGUAGUACUUAUUAUUCUGUAAACAACAGCGUAUAAGUGUGUUGUAUGUGACAUCAUUAGGCAAGCAAUCAUGAGCUUUCAUUUCCCUGAAUAGUUCAUUUGCUUCAUCCAAUAACCCUUCAAGACAAUAUGCUUGGAUCAUCACUGUGUAUGUCUUGACAUUAGGUCGCAAACCUUUCGCAGGAAGGUUGUCAAAAAGGCUUCUUGCAUUCUCGAGAUGUCCAUUUUUGCUUAGUCCAUCAAUCAGAAUAGUGUAAACCUGUAUAUCAGCAACUAACCCACUAUACUCUAGUAUUUGAAAAAACGAUAGUGCUUCAAAUACAUAACAAUUCUGGCACAGACCAUGCAACAAGAUACGACAUGUCACUUUAUCCAACUCAACACCUUGGUUGAUCAUCUUUUCCUUAAAAAAAUUACGUGCUUCAACAUGCCUGCCCACAUGAAAAAAACCUUGCAGUAUAGUACUGUAAGUCUGAAUAGUUGGGGUUAAACAUUCAGAGGGCAUUUGUUGAAAAAGAUCUAUGGCUCUGUCCACUUUCUUCUUUCUACAGUACCCGUUGAUGAGGAUAUUAUAGAUAAAAGCAUCAAGCAAUAUUCCCUUUCUAGUCAUGCUUUCGAACACUAGUAAAGCUUUAUUAACCUCUCCCUGCAAGCAGUAUCCAUCCAUUAGUGAAUUGUAAGUGACUACAUUAGGAUAAUGGCCUCUUUGAGUCAUCAACUCUAUCACAUCCUCUGCAUCUUCAAUCAUUCCUUCUUUGCAAUACGCAUCAAUCAAUAUACUGUAAGUAAAAACAUUUUGAGAAAUGUUCCUAAGAUCCAUCUCCUUGAGCAAUUGUUUGACAUCAUGCCAUCGAUUAAAGUCACACAACCCUUGAAUUAAAGAGCUGUAGGUCAUAACAUUUGGUGAUAUGCCUUUCCUUGUCAUUUGGUGGAGAAGACCCAAUGCUUGAUCGAUUAAUCUAUGUUUACACAAACAGUCAAUAAUUGUGGUGUAAGUUACAGUAUUAGGCCUGCAACCUUUCUUCUCCAUAAUUUUAAACAACUUAACAGCCACAGAAGGAUUCCCUCUCUUGCAGAUGCCGUCAAUGAUAAUUGUAUAGGUAACAACAUCGGGUUGAAUAAGUUGAAAUCUGAUGAGGUUCUGGAACAAAAGCUGAGCCUCUUGAAGCAUAUCUUGGGAANUAGAGUGUUAUAAGUAAACACGUCAGGGACAAAACCGUGCUUGAUGAUUCCAGCCAGUAAUGAAAAGGCAAAAUCGACACGAUCCAAGUGACAAAAACAGUUGAUAAUAGUAUUAAAGGUAAUUACAUUAACAGGGACGCUUUCUACACACAUCUUUCUAAAAACGGACACAGCUACAGAGUAGUCUUUCAUCUUAACAACAGCAGCUAAGAGUUGAUUGAAUUUAGGAACAGGGAGCAUUUUAUCAAACACCUGAAGAGCAUCAUCGAGUUUAUCGAAACCAACCUUUGAUUUCUCAUAAAGUAAUUGCUGAAGUCUCGCAUGAGAUGUAUUGGGAAAAUGAGGAACAUAGGGGUGUUUGGGGUUAGGUUUAGUGGAGAACAUACGAAAAUGAGCAUUGAAUUGAAACAAUGCGAGAGAACUAGUAGUUGCAGACUCAGCUGCAGAUCGUAGAAAUGGUAGCAUUGGUCUUAAGGAAGCCAGACUCCUCAUCGUUGCUCUCACUUCUUGCCGGUGCUCUCACUUCACUGGGUUGAGUUGCCCAGAACACAAAAUAUGACGGAAGAAUGGGAUCUACUCAAGUUACAAAUUACAAAUUAAUAGCUUAUAACCCGUGAUUGUUACUCCUUCUGUUCUUUUUUAUUAGUCGUUUUGACUUUUUACACGUAUUUUGAGAUAUAAUAAAAACGUAUUUUUACAUUUUUAUUUUUUAAAUUUAAGGAUACCUAUAAACCUGGAUAUAAACCAACCGAUCAACCUUUUGAUAUUCGUUAUUAAUAAUUAAUAAUAUAAUAUAAAACAUAUUAUAAGUUAAAAAGACGCGUAUACCCAAAUACCGAUCCAUCAUACUAACCUAAUUUUUAAUGUUUUGUUUUAAAAGAUAAUAAUAAAAUAUAGUAUAAUAUUUUAUUAAUUAUAAACGUUCAUGGGUCGAAUACUAACCGGCUCACCAAACUCGAGUGACCGGGCCGAACAAUUGACCAACUGAACUUUUCAUGUUUCGGCUUUAAUGGUAUGAUAAUAUAAUAGUAUAAUAUAGAUUUAUAAUAUUACUUUUAAAGUGAGACUAUUAAAGUAUUUUAAAAUAAUGUUAAAGUAGCCCUUGUUAAUUAUAGAAGCUCGGCUUUUUAGUUAGAAAAUCUAAAAAAGAUAAUGUGUUUUAGUUAAAAAGGUAAUUACUAUGUUGCUCGAUGUUAUUUUAAAAGAUUGGGUUUUUUUAUUUUGAAAAUAUAAAAAAGAUGAUACUUGAUGUUAUUUUGAAAGAUUGAGUUUUUUUAUUUAGAAAGUAUAAAAAAAUGAUAUAUUUUAGUUAAAAAAAUAACUGGUUAUAUAGAUAGGCCCGUAUUUUGGCCCAAGUACCGACCGACCAAACUUUUAAUGUUUGAGCUUUAAUAGUACUAGCUUAUAGCCCGUGCAAGGCACGGGAGCUUUUUAAUUAUAUAUAAACUUUUUAAAUAUAUUUUAAAUGGUGUGAAGAAAUUUAAUUUAUAAAUAAUAAAUUAAAAUUCGAAAUUAUAAUUUGUUUGUAAGUUAGAACUGUGGUAAAUACAUCAUCACAACCAUUAAUGGCUUCAAAUAAACUAUUGUAAUGAAGUCAUUCCUUUUCUCGUAUGUACCCUGCCAAAGUAUUAAAUUCUUUCUAUCAAAUUUUAAUAUAUUUUGAGUGGAAUACGUUAUUGGCAACUCUUAUUAGAUUAUAUUUAUAAAUGUAUUUUAUAUUAGAAUUAUUAUAGUGUGAUUUAAAUAGCCCGCAAGGGUUGGUUUAGCUGGUUAAAGAGAGGACAUGCAUCCUCUUGCGCACCCGAAGGGUAGCGGCUGCGGGUUCUUAGGUUAAAAAAAUAAAUAAGAAAAUAUAAUGUGAUUUAAAUAUUUUUCAAAAAAUUUAUAUGGUUCUAAAUUAAAAUUGAUAAACAUAAUUUGUUUUUGAAUUAAGAAAAAGAAUCAUAAACAUGCAAUAAGAAGGUAGAAUCUAUUUUGGAUUAAGAAAAAGUUUUUGUAUUUGCUAAUCACAUAAAUACGGCUUAUUAAUUUUAGAAUAUAUUAUAAAAAAAAUUGUGACGGUUCGAUUUAUAUGAUUCUACGAAUAAAACUGGUAGGAAAUAUUUAUUUGGUAUUAAAAAAAUCAAAUACACGUGAAACACAGAAUUUGUUUUGGAUUCAGAAAAGGAAUUAUAAACAUGCAAGGUGAUCUAUCAGUUGCCUUGUAGAACAGAAGUUAAUUUUCCAAUCUAACGGUGCUUAUUUGUUCAAUAUAAGAUCCAACGGAUGAUAAGCUUUUGUACCAGAGGACCAUGCGACCAAAUUAUCUCCCUUACGCUUAUUAUAUAUAAGUAUAUAAUAAUAGUAAGUAUAGAUAGGCCUGUAUUUUGGUCCAAGUACCGACCGACCAAACUUUUAAUGUUUCGGUUUUGAUAGUAUAGUAUAGAUAGAUAUCUCAUUGUAUAACUUUUACGUGUUAAAUUUAUAUAAAUAUAAAAAUUAAUAUAUAACUUUUUAUUUGAAAUUAUACCAUACCAUACCACACGUAAAAAAUAUUUUGGUGAAGUCCCGUGGAGUAAACGAAUGGAGUCAAGAACCAUCACUCACAAAUGGCAAGAUUGAGCAGAAAUCAAGAACGUUCACUUUCACAUAUUGUAAGGUUGAAGGCUUGGGAGACAAGAGAUCGGUUCAAACUUCUUCCUAAAAUCAUACUCCCUCCGUUCCAUAAUAAGAGUCGCUUUGAUUUUUUACACGUAAUUUGAGGUGUAAAAAAAUAUGUCUCUACAUAUUAUUUUUCAAAUUUUCUUUUUUUGAAUAAAAAUAUAGAUGUUAAACUUUUAUUCAGAAAAAGAAAUUUUGAAAAAAUAAUAUUUAGAGAUAUGUUUUUUAACACCUCAAAUUACGUGAAAAAAAGUCAAAGCGACUCUUAUUAUGGGACGGAGGGAGUAAUACUCAAAACAUUAAAUGCGUCGAAAAGUAACAUUCGGUAUAUGGUAUGUCGUGUGUUACCACAAAUCCAACGCAACAUGUGCAAUUCUGUUGUCUCUGGUCGACGCUCGAGGCUUUUGAGUUUUUCAAAAUGGCUGACACUCAAAUCAUAUAGUAAUGACGAUAUGAUUGCCACUCGAUAAAAUUUACCUUUCAACUACAAAAGUACAUUUUUUAAAUCAUCAUAUACAUGUAUCUCAAUUUUUUUGAUUUUACAAUUUAUCUCAUUUUUUCUUUUUAAUCAAUUUAUAACUUUUUUACUAACAUUAUACUUUCUCCGUUUUAGUAUAAUACUCCCCGUGACGCUUUUUAGUUGUCAUGUUUGAAUUUUGACAAGUCAAAUUGACCAAAAUUUGACUAAAUUUAUUAAUAUUUUAUUAAUUAAUAAAAUAAUAAAUGUCACCGAAAAUAACUUUCAAUCUACUUUGAUAUGUAAUUUUCCAGUAUUUUAAAAUAAUAUAAGAGGUACUUAUAAUUUUUGAUCAAAAACUAGUAAAUUUGAUCAAUAAAAUAAAAAUGGGACAACUAAAAAGAGACAGAAAGAGUAGUUUUAAGAACAGAGCAACAUCGGUCUUCUAAUUAAUAUUUUAAAAUUUUAGGUGCGUAAUUAAAUUUAGUUGGGUGGAAACUGAACCUGUGAAAGGUUACCUUAGCUAUUCUCGCUGCUCAUAACAUUUAAACUAUAUGUUGAUAUAUAGGGUAAGGCUCAAAUUGGAACCAAUACUAGUAUUAAAAUUAGAACUUAGGAACACACCCGGAACUUGGGAACACACAUGCUUUGAUUGAAAUUUAUACGUAUUAUAUAACUAAAUAAUAAUAAUAAUUGGGUUGAUAAAUUUGCAUGAGCAUUGUUGAAUUUAUAAUAUACAAAAUGCUUUUACUAUAGCAGUAACUGAGUGAACCAGGACACAUUGCUGUACCCAAGUUAGUCAUCAUCUCCAGCUCCGUCGAACACUUCUGCAUCUCCACCACCCAAAUCUUGAUCCCAAGUUAGUCAUCGUCUCCAGCUCCGUCGAACCCUUCUGCAUCUCCCCCACCCCAAUCUUGAACAUCUGCUGGCCCAUCAUCGACAUUAACAUCUAUAGCCAUGUCGAAACCAAUAUCAUCAUUAGGGACUUCCUGCAGUUCUGGCAAUGUUUGCCUCACUGAAAAAAUCAGCAUACGGCUUCGAAACCUGAUCAGAGAUAUAAAAUUUAUAAAAUUCUUAAUUAUAUACGCUCCAUUGUUGUAGAAACAAUAAUCUUGAGAUACCAUAUUUGUAUAUACGCCAUGCCAAUUGCCACAUCUUAAUAAAACUGUAACUAGAAAUUUCAUUCUCCAUUCUUGUCUUUAGCCAAAUAAGGAAAAAUUUAAAUGUUCACUUAAAUUUUCAAAAUUCAAAUCAGUUGAUGUAGAUGUAGUCGAAGAAGAUAUAGAAACUUUGUUUCUGAGUGAUGGUAAAGGAGAUGAGUCUAAAAAGAUUUAACCACCUUAUAAAGAGCAGUCCUCUUUUCUGCACUCGAUGAGAUUCCUCUUUUCUGCACUCUCGAUGAGAUUCUUCCAGUGCUCGUCUUUUCUCAAAGUUGAAGCAGAACCCACAACCUGAAUAAACAAAGAGGCAGCUGCUGUUAUAUAAGCAAAGCUAUAUAAGUGUACUGUAUACAGUUCUGAAAAAAAUUAAAAUAAGCGCUUCAAAUUUAUUACCCAAACAGAAGACCUUGCUCUGGUAAUUCCGACAUUCAUUCUCCGAGAAUCAGAAACAAAUCCGAUGCCUUUAUCUUUGCUUGCCCUGACACAUGAAAAUAUAGCAACAUCUUUUUCUCUUCCCUGCAUUCGGAACACGAUACAUUUAACAAAAUUUACAACUUUUAGAACGAGGAAUACAAGUAAUGCGCAAGAUGCAUCCGGUGAUUAUAAAUUCAAAUAAAAUCUCAAGACGAAUAUAGAGCCGUAUUAAUCUCAACCAAUGAAUAGUAAAUUUUUAUUUCGAAGAGAAUAAAUUUGUUAGCAAAUCAAAGAACCAUAAAGUGAAAAAUUGCCUAAACAUGAAGCGGAAAGAAAUUUUUUUACUUUUACCUGGAAUCCAUCCACAGUGUUGAUGUCUACAAACUUCUUUGAAUCUUCACCAAAGGCAUCCUUGAACUUAUCACGGAAGAGGCUUACUUGAGAUCUAUAGGGAGAUAUUAUAGCAAUUUGAGAGCUCGACUUGAGCUCUACAAAUCUAGCUAAUAACUUGUGAUACAUAAGCACAACAAACUCAGCCUCGUCAACAUUUUCCCAAGAGCGGGACUCUUUUCGCUCAUGUAAAUCAAAAAAACAGAAAGAACCAAAGCAGCUGUAUAUGUGCCAUGCACGUCUAGUUUCACUUUCAACAGCAGGACCUAGCAUAAAAGUAUCCUAACCUAAAUUUAGAUGUACUGAGUAUACACUCUCACACACUCAAGUAAAUAUCUAUAAUCUUCCACAGAUAUACUACAAUGUGUUCCACUAGAAUUUUCAAGGGAACUUAGAUAUAAGAUAUGUCUGCCAAGUUAAUGAAGAGCUGAUGUCCCCAAAAGGAGGUAAAAGAGACAAAAGUAAGGGAAGAACCAGUGGCGGACCAUGAACUGUAAUAAGCGGGCUAAGUGUACUUUUAAGAAAUCACGGAUGAGAAAAAAACAUUUCAAUACAUUAACAUUAACAUCAUUCAAAUUCAUUACAUAUAAUAUAAAAACAAUUAUUACCAUGACAUUCUUCUAGGUGCCAUAUUUUGAAAUCUCAUUAUAAUGUCUUUGACAUCAAUUGAAUUUUUGGGGGGUUAAUUAAUUUUUUACAAUUUAAGGUUCAAGGUUGAUUAUAUCUUCUCCGUGAUCUAUCAGAAGUUAGUUAAGCUUAUUGUGAUACUUAGUUGAAAAAUCAAAAAGAUUAUGUACCUGAGAACUCUCUCCUUCGUUACACCUACGGCAAGUAUUUCUUGCACAAAGCAAGGGGAGCAGGAUCCUGUUCUUGCACAUCAAGUAAAUCCAGUAAAACAGAUGCAGUAGAUGCAUCUGCUGCAAAGCCGCGACCAAGCAUUUCAUCCAUGAGUACACCUGCUUCAUAGUAAUUCUUAUUCUGUAAACAACCGCGGAUAAGCAUGUUGUAUGUGACAUCACUAGGCAAGCAAUCAUGAGCUUCCAUUUCCCUGAAUAGUUCAUUUGCUUCAUCCAAUAACCCUUCAUGACAAUAUGCUUGGAUCAUCACUGUGUAUGUCUUGACAUUAGGUCGCAAACCUUUCGCAGGAAGGUUGUCAAAAAGGCUUCUUGCAUUCUCGAGGUGUCCAUUUUUGCUUAGUCCAUCAAUCAGAAUAGUGUAAACCUGUAUAUCAGCAACUAACCCACUGGACUCUAGUAUUUGAAAAAACGAUAGUGCUUCAAAUACAUAACAAUUCUGGCAAAGACCAUGCAACAAGAUACGACAUGUCACAUUAUUUAACUCAACACCUUGGUUAAUCAUCUUUUCCAUAAAAAACUUACGUGCUUCAACAUGCCUGCCCACAUGAAAAAAACCUUGCAGUAUAGUACUGUAAGUCUCAAUAGUUGGGGUUAAACCUUCAGAGGGCAUUUGUUGAAAAAGAUCUAUGGCUAUAUCCACUUUAAACUUUUUACAAUAACCGUUGAUGAGGAUAUUAUAGCUAAAAGUAUUAGGCAAUAUUCCCUUUCUCUUCAUGCUUUCAAACACUGCUAAUGCUUUAUCAACCUCUCCUCGCAAGCAGUAUCCAUCCAUGAGUGAGCUGUAAGUGACUACAUUCUCCAUUCUUGUCUUCUAGCCAAAUAAGGAAAAAUUUAAAUGUUCACUUAAAUUUUUAAAAUUCAAAUCAGUUGAUGUAGAUGUAGUAGAAAAGGAUAUCGAAACUUUGUUCUGAGUGAUGGUAAAGGAGAUGCAAAGCAAAUUUAGUCUAAAAACAUUUAACCACCUUAUAAAGAGCAUUCCUCUUUUCUGCACUCUCGCUGAGAUUCCUCUUUUCUGCACUCUCGGUGAGAUUCUUCCAGUGCUCGUCUUUUCUCAAAGUUAGAGCAGAACCCACAACCUGAAUAAACAAAGAGGCAGCUGCUGUUAUAUAAGCAAAGCUAUAAGUGUACUGUACACAGUUCUGAAAAAAAAAAAAAAUAAGCGCUUCAAAUUUAUUUCCCAAACAGAAGACCUUGCUCUGGUAAUUCCGACAUUCAUUCUCCGAGAAUCAGCAGAAAAUCCAAUGCCUUUAUCUUUGCUUGCCCUGACACAAGAAAAUAUAGCAACAUCUUUUUCUCUUCCCUGCAUUAGGAACAGGAUACAUUUAACAAAAUUUACAACUUUUAGAACGAGGAAUACAAGUAAUGCGCAAGAUGCAUCCGGUGAUUAUAACUUCAAAUAAAAUCUCAAGACGAAUAUAGAGCCAUAUUAAUCUCAACCAAUGAAUAAUAAAUUUUUAUUUUAAAGAGAAUACAUUUGUUAGCAAAUCAAAUAACCAUAAAGUGAAAAAUUGCCUAAACAUGAAGCGGAAAGAAAUUUUUUUACUUUUACCUGGAAUCCAUCCACAGUGUUGAUGUCUACAAAUUUAUUUGAAUCUUCACCAAAGGUAUCCUUGAACUUAUCACGGAAGAGGCUUACUUGAGAUCUAUAGGGAGAUAUUAUAGCAAUUUGAGAGCUCGACUUGAGCUCUACAAAUCUAGCUAAUAACUUGUGAUACAUAAGCACAACAAACUCAGCCUCGUCAACAUUUUCCCAAGAGCCACUAUUUGAAGGCUGGGACUCUUUUCGCUCAUGUAAAUGAAAAAAACAGAAAGGACCAAAGCAGCUGUAUAUCUGCCAUGCACGUCUAGUUUCACUUUCAACAGCAGGACCAUCCUCCAAGGCCUACUUGUAGAAUUCUUUAGAAGGAAAGCCUCUUAUCUGCAAGCAGAUACACUUGUGUACAGUAAUAUUAUACAGAUGAUAUAAGAUAUCAACAGCCCUUUUUUAUAUAUUAAAAAUAAAAUAAUAUACACUUAUAGAAUUGGCAGUGCUUGGGGCAGCUAUAUGUUGCAGCUCUGAGACAACCGACAAGUCAAACAAAGAUAUAAAGAUACAAGUCUUCAUGGUAGUUUGGUCCUUAACAUCUGUACCGGAUACCCCACUUCUUGAAAUCUCUUAAACAAGCUCAUCCUGUACCUAUUCAAUAGUGUUAGGGAAAAAAUUAUGCAACAUAAUUACAUAAGAUGAAGAUGAUGAUUGAUAAACCACCAUGUUUAAAACUAGUUUAUACACUACUUUGAACAUAUAUGCAUUCCUUACUUAAAUUUCUCGGCAACAGGAGAAAUCACAGUGGCUGGAGGUUGAAGAGGAUCACCAACCUAAUUAGAUAAGAAAUGAUGUCUGAGAAAGUAAUCUCAAAACAGAAGUGGUAAAAUUUAUCAGCUAGCAAAUUGAUAUAACCAAAUUGGCAUAAUAUAAACCUUUUAUCUUCACUUCCUAGUUGCCAAAAGAUUAUGACAAAGUGUUUAGAACGGAUCGAGUGUUCGGCACGUAUUUUUAUAUGAGUUUUAAAAUGUGUGCCGAGCACUCCAUUCCAAACGAUAAGAAUUGAGGGGAUGGAGAGAGUAUAUUCUAACGAGAAUGAUGGUCUCUUUCACAUAAAUCCUAAAAUAUUGGUAACUAUUAAAAAAAUCUUAAAUUAAUAAUUAAAACACAAAUUAUCAAUUUAGUCAUUUUUUCUAUUUAUUUUUUUUGAGAAACUUAUGGAAAUAAUAUAUAUUCAUAUAUAUGACCUAGGAAGCAUGAGUGCGGGUGCGGGAGUGCGGGUGCGCAGUACGUGGAUACGGGAAUUCGUCAAAUUCCAAAAUAUGGGGAUACGGGUACGGGGGGAUACGGCAAAUAUUAAAAUAUUAAAAAUAUUAUAUAUAUAUAUCUAUGUUUGUGUAAAAUAACCCUUACCUUAUAAGGCAGGGUUCUGCAGCAGAACUUAAGUAUGAGUUAGGGUUCUGCAGCAGAACUUCACAUGCAAAAAAUGUCAAUAUCUAUGUAUUAGAUUUUAGAAUUAUUUUUGAACACACACAACGAUGAAAAAAUAUGAAAAAAACAUGUAUUUAGAUUUAGAUCCUAAAAAUCUAUUUAAAAUUUAGGGUUCCGCAGCAGAACCUUGGUGGUUCUAUGGUUCUAUUUUAAGGACUGGUUCUCUACACACACAUGAGCAAUUAUAUAUACUUACAAUCUAUAGACACACAUGAGCAGAUAUUGCAGAAAACACACUUACCAAUCGACAUACUUGAGCUGGAGAUGCUCUGCUCUCUCUCGUACAGGUACUCAAUUAGUCUAAUUAGGUUUUGAUCCCUCUUUUCUUUCUUUUGACCAACUAAUUUUAAGUUUUUUUUUAUAAAAAAAAAGUUGUUAAAAAUUACGAUUUGUGCCACUGCCGCACCCCAUCCCCGCACCCCCGCGUAUCCCCAUCGCUGCCUCCAUCGAUACGCCAUGUGGCGUAUCCCGCCGCACCCCCGCACCCCCAAGUAUCCCCUACGCAGUUCUUUACCCAGAUGAAGUAUCCCUGCUUUCUAGUAUAUGACUAUCAAAACGAGCCUCUAUUGAAAACAGUAAGUUAACCGCUUCGAUAAAAGUUGGAUGAAUUUAAUGUGACGUUUGAAUAUUAUUAGUGACCUUUUUGACAUAAAUAGUUGUAAAAGAAAAUGAUCUUCGGUCUUGUAGAUAAAAAUAUUUUAAAUAUUUGUUCGAAUAAAAAGAAAUUAUUAAAUAUUAUAUUAUUAUUUUAUAAUUUAAUUGCAUUUAGAUUUUUGGGAUUGUCCCAUGUUCCCGAGACGUCCUCAAACUUGUGCAACAAUUGUUUGGCCUUACUGGGCAACAUACGUUAUAAUCCAAAUUAUUAUAGUUUUCAAGCAUGGCCUCAAGUUCUCUCACCAGGAGUACCAUUUGUGUUUUCUGUUUGUACUUACCGGCUUAGAAUACGGAUAAUAUGUGUGUGAGAGAUAAAGCAAGUCCGGUGCGGAACUCAACUGCUGAUGUGGAAGAGAAAGACUGGGACCUGUAUUGUUUAGGUGGCAAGGAAAAAAAAAAUGAAUGACAGAGCACUUGGGUUCAGCAUUUCACAGCACUUGCUCUUAGUUCCCAAAGAUGAAAAGUGUUUCUCAGUUUCACUAUUAGCUUAUAACUCAAUGCUUUAAAGUUUAAGGCUAAUUAUAUCUUCUUCUUGAUCUAUCUUAUCCGAUAUGUUAGUCUCAUGCAAGUCCCUGUAACAACAUUGCAAAUAUAUUUAAGAACUUACUGGGAUCGCAGAUCCGGUAUGUCAGAUUCAGAAUUGCAAAAUCCUUUGAAAAGCAUACAAUAUCCACAAAGUUACGAGCUGAAUACCGCUGUAGGGAUGUAUACAAUUGUAUCCACUGUGUUGCCUUAAUCUUGCAUCUUACUCUAAAAACCAACAAAAAGUUCCACCCAGCUGACAUUAAAGACCUGGGCUGACUGGUCUGAUCAGCCGUUCAAGUUCUUUAUCUGAGAGCACUGGCCAGGUGAAUGGUUCUGCAAUGCACUGAGUAAGUCUGCAGACUCGGAAUCAGAUGACCUCAACUAAGGUCAUCAGAGGUCAGUAUCUAAGAGUAGUAAGAGAGGUGAUAUAGUGAAGAAGAUAAAUUAGAAGUCCAUGACCAGGGACGGAUUAUAGGAUGCACAAGACACUCGCUGCAAGCAAGGAACUCGCUCCACCUAGCCCCAUCGGCAAGGCUUCAUAAAGCCACGAAAAACAUCAUAUAUAUUUCCUGAGUUCGAAACCUUACUCUCUCCCAAAAUACUUGAUAAAAUAAUCCAUCAAAAUAUAGGUACACAUCCAAUAUACAUUAGCAUUGUGCUUCACUUAUGAAUAGUUUACAGUUUGUCGAGGCUGCCAAUCUCUCUAGUCUCUUUAAUUGAUUUGCAGUUCUUUCUUUUUUUGCUAAAUCUAUUCAACUCAGUGGCUUAGAAUUUUAAACGGACUACUAUCCUGCAGCAUUAGCCAAUUCAAGACUACUUAAUUCUUGAUAAAAGUGGUAACCGAAGUUACCUAUGGAAAGAAACCCAUACACAUACAAGCUCUUUUACUCAUUGCGCUGAUAAUUUCAGACUGCAGUUAAGCUAUAUUAAGCCUUUUAGUUAUUUCAUGUAAUAAAGACAUUAAGAUAAAUCAACAUUCUAUAGACAAAAAGACGAUGUAGUGCAGAGGAGCUCCAUUCUUAACUUUAAAUUCAACAAAAUUAUAUCAAAAUAACACCCAAUCAUUUGUGAUCAAUCAGAGAAGAACUGCAAAUUUAACAACAAUGCAUUUGAAAUGAGUGCUGCUAGGGUUGCAGACCCUUGAAAUUAAAAUGUUGGAAAAUUGAAGAUUAUGUACCUAAGCAAUCCUCACUUUGCUUGACCUAUGGCAGAUACUUCUUAUGCAAAGCAAGAAGAGCAGGAUCCUGUUCUUGUGAUUCAAGUAGGUCCGGUAACAAGGAGGCGGUAGAAUGUAGAUGCAGUAGCUGAGAAGCCCCAAGCACGCAUCUCAUAGGACACGGCUUCAGCAUACUUCUUAUUGUAAAAACAGACACAAUAAGUGUGUCAUAGGUAACAUCAGUCGACAAACAACCAUUAAAAGUCCACCAACAAUUCAUACGCCUCAUGGAGUAAUCCCUCUACACAUACUGCUUGUAAGAAAAUAACAUUGCAAUAUAGUACUGUAACUCUCAAUAGUUGCUUUGAAACCUUCAAAAAUGCUGGCAAAAUCGAAAAUAUUAUGUACCUGAGAACUCUCUCCUUCAUUACACCUACGGCAAGUACUUCUUGCACAAAGAAAGCAGAGCAGGAUCCUGUUCUUGCACAUCAAGUAAAUCCACAAAAACAGAUGCAGUAGAUGCAUCUGCUGCAAAGCCGCGACCAAGCAUUUCAUCCAAGAGUACACCUGCUUCAUAGUAAUUCUUAUUCUGUAAACAACCACGGAUAAGCAUGUUGUAUGUGACAUCAUUAGGCAAGCAUUCAUUAGCUUCCAUUUUCCUGAAUAGUUCAUUUGCUUCAUCCAAUAACCCUUCAUGACAAUAUGCUUGGAUCAUCAUUGUGUAUGUCUUGACGUCAGGCCGCAAACCGUUCAAAGGAAGGUUGUCAAAAAGGCUUCUUGCAUUCUCGAGAUGUCCAUUUUUGCUUAGUCCAUCAAUCAGAAUAGUGUAAAUCUGUAUAUCAGGAACUAACCCACUGGACUCCAGUAUUUGAAGAAAGGAUAGUGCUUCAAAUACAUAAGAAUUCUGGCAAAGACCAUGCAACAAGAUACGACAUGUCACAUUAUUAAACUCAACACCUUGGUUAAUCAUCUUUUCCUUAAAAAAUUUACGUGCUUCAACAUGCCUGCCCGCAUGAAAAAAACCUUGCAGUAUAGUACUGUAAGUCUCAAUAGUUGGCGUUAAACCUUCAGAGGGCAUUUCUUGAAAAAGAUCUAUGGCUCUGUCCACUUUCUUCUUUCUACAGUACCCGUUGAUGAGGAUAGUAUAGCUAAAAGUAUUAGGCAAUAUUCCCUUUCUCUUCAAGCUUUCGAACACUGCUAAUGCUUUAUUAACCUUUCCCUGCAAGCAGUAUCCAUCCAUUAGUGAAUUGUAAGUGACUAAAUUAGGAUAUACUCCUCUUUGAAUCAUCAACUCUAUCACAUCCUCCGCAUCUUCAAUCAUUCCUUCUUUGCAAUACGCAUCAACCAAUAUACUGUAAGUAAAAACAUCUCGAGAAAUGUUCCUAACAUCCAUCUCCUCGAGCAAUUGUUUGACAUCAUGCCAUCGAUUAUUGUCACACAGACCUUGAACUAAGGAGUUGUAGGUCAUAACAACGGGAGAUACACCUUUCCUUGUCAUUUGGUGGAGAAGACCCAAUGCUUGAUCAACUAAUCCAUGUUUACAUAAACAAUCAAUAAGUGUGGUGUAAGUUACGGUAUCAGGCUUGCAACCUUUCUUCUCCAUAAUUUUGAACAACUUAACAGCCACAGAAGGAUUCCCUCUCUUGCAGAUGCCGUCAAUGAUUAUGUUAUAGGUAACAACAUCGGGUUGAAUAAGUUGAAAUCUGAUGAGGUUCUGGAACAAAAGCUGAGCCUCUUGAAGCAUAUCUUGGGAAAUAAGGCCCCUGAUGAGAGUGUUAUAAGUAACCACAUCAGGGACAAAACCGUGCUUGAUGAUUCCAGCCANNNNNNNNNNNNNNNNNNNNNNNNNNNNNNNNNNNNNNNNNNNNNNNNNNNNNNNNNNNNNNNNNNNNNNNNNNNNNNNNNNNNNNNNNNNNNNNNNNNNNNNNNNNNNNNNNNNNNNNNNNNNNNNNNNNAGUAAAUGUUGAAGACGAGCGUGAGAUGGAUCAGAGGAAUAAGGGAAACGGGGUUUGGGUUUAAAGGGAAUAUUAGGGUUAGGGUUAGUGGAGAAGUGAGAAACUGCAAUAACAGAAUGUCUUAGGAAUCGAGAAUUUGAGAUGACAAAUUUCUUCAUCGUCGUCAUCAUCAUGAUAUCUAUACUUGUUGGACACUCAAAAAAUUAGCCGGCAGAGCAGAGCAGAUGAUAUCAAUUCUUUUCAAUAGUGAUCGAAACUGAAUCACAGUAUAAACGGCGAAAACUUAGAACUAAUCAACAAGAAACAAAACAAACAACACUUGGCAGUUUUUCGUAAAACAGAUGGAAGAAACCCUAACUUGGGCAACUUGAACGUGUAUAUCUCUUUUUAAUUUUAACCUAUUUAGUUCAAAACAAACAACAAGAUAGACAAUAUAGUUUUUCUUAUAAAUGAUGAAAUUUAAAUUAUGAUAUAAAUAUUUAUUAAAAAACACAUUAUCACAUAUGUAUAUUCGAAAAACAUUUACACAUAGAUAAUAAAAAUAUUUUAUUAUUUAUAUUACGUAAUAACAAUAUGUAUAAAAAUACUGUAAAAGUUAAAUUUUUAAGAGGAAAUAUAAUCAAGUAUAAUAUGAUAUAAUCAAUUCAUUAUCAUAGAACUGAACGUGCAAAAAAUGACAGCAUCCAAUAGUAUUAAACAAAUAAUAAAUAAGGUUAAAUAUUAACGGGAAAAUAGAUAUUUUUGUCACUCAACUUAUUGUGUAUUUAGAAAUUUACGACCCAAUUAUAAUUUUUUUUAUUUUACUCACUGAUGUUAGGUUCGGAUUAUUUUUUUUGCCACUAAAGUUAGGUUUACCUUUGAUUUAUUAACAUUAUAUUAAUUUUUUGUAGCAUUAUUAAAAUGUAGUGGUAAUCUGGAAUAUUUUGAUAAUUUGAUAUAUGUCUAUUAACUUGUUAUAUACCUAAUAUUGUUUAGGUGAUAAGAGUUUGACAAACAUUUUAUGGCUUCUAAAAAAUGUAGUUUAAAAUCCCCAUAACAUAUUGUUCACGCAGUAAGUAAUUUUUGGAUAAAUAUACUGCACAAAUGGCUUCAAAUAUAUGUUUUGGUAAUUGAAAGGAGCCGGCAUGAAGGAGAAAAGUAACAUUUCACAAAGACUUGCAAAUGCAUUUGCCUCUCACCUAAAUAAAAUAAGCUGGAUGCAUCUUUUAAACAUAGUUCAAAGGAAGCAUAUUUUUUCAUGACAAGCAUAAACAUUAUAAUCAUAAACAUUGUCUGCACAAGGCCAUAGUUUGUGUUUUGAUCGAAGAUAAGAAUCUUAUAGAGUCAAAUCAAACUUGUAAGUUUGCAUGCAAUUCUAUUCUAACAUUCUUACAUAAUAUCUGGCAAGUCUGUGUCAUUAAAAUUUACUGGAAAUGAAAGUGUUUGCAUAUCUUUACACAAAAUGUGUAGACGUAAAUUGUAAAGUUGUAAUCACAUAUCAUUAAAAUAUCCCAUCUAGUUCAGGAACAACCCGUACACAUUGGGGACAACACAUGUUAGUGUGUUGCUUGGUAGAUUUUGAGAUAAAUCGGUGUUAAACAUUUCAGAUUUAUUUGUAAAAAACUGCAUUCGUAAUGGCUAUUUACAUCCUCUCUCACAGGAAUUUCUACCUCGGAGAUUUAUUUGAUAGAAAGCUCUUUUGCAUAGGUCUCAUUUGCAGUGACAUAAUGCUUUGCAGUAGGAGCCAAUAAGGAGUCUGUCUUGCCAUUUGAUCAUCUAGACAACUUUUCUUUGAGGGCGUUCAAAGGUGCGUAAUCAACAUUAAAGUAUGAUGAUCCUUGUUGCAUCUGUGCUUGACAAUGUAUCAUUGUGGGUGAGUCUGCAAUAUUAGCAGUAAAUAAUUGGUUACAACUAUAUCAUUAGAAAAAAGCAUUUGAGUUGUUGGUGUUCAUAUUUUAACAUUUGUAACUAAAGCAUGGUUGUCAUGUCGGUCGACUAGUCGCGACUAGUCGACUAAGCGGUGAAUGGAUGUCGACUCAACUUGUCGACUAGCAGAAUGUUGAUAUUUCGGUCGACUAGUCGACUAGGCGAGCUGCUAAAUUUUCGGCUUUGGUUGUCUCUGAUUAUAUUUAUGCUCUGUUUUUCUGCAAUCUGCACAAUAAGUUCUGCAUAACUCUCUAUGUAUUAUCUGCACAUAUUUGUUGUAUAUCAGUUGUUAUAUAUCAGUUGUUACAUAUUUUACUUUGUUUUAUUGUUAUUUGUUAACUCUUUUUGCUUUUCCAUCAUUCCCCUUAAGUUUCUGAUUCUUAAUUCCUUAGAAUCUGAAAUAAAACAUUGUGGAAGGUGUUAGAACUUAAAAAUCUAAUUUACAUGAUAUGUGUGUGUGUGUCUAUAUAAUAUAUUAUUUUUUAAAUUUAUAAUAAUAUUUUUUUUUUGUCGACUAGUCUACGACUUGUCAACGACUAGUCGACUAGUCGAUUAGACGGAGGUCCAUCAACUCGCCUCGACUCAUCGACGUGACAACCAUGAAUUAAAGGUUAAUAUUUUACAAGACUUGUAGACAUCUAGGUAAGUUGUAUUAUUGAGCCUGUCACCUGAGAACUUUUUUGCCAGCAGUCUAACAAAAGUAGCCCUCUCUUCCACGUCCAUGAUUAAAGUCAUGGAUUGGAGUGUAUAUGUAGAAAUGUAUUUUCCUAUAUCUCAUUGAUGUAUAAUGUAUACAAUAUAUAGCAGACUACCAAUAGCUAUCAUAGGCGACAUUACAGGAGAUAUUAACAAGUACAGUAAACUGAAGCAAUUACUGUAGAAUCAAAACUGAUCCUAAACUAAAGCUAUUUUUGAAUUCAUAUAAUAUCAUAUCUGUACUUUAAGUGAUAUGCUGAUUUUGUGGGAUUGCUUUAACAGCCCCCCGCAAACUGGACGAUCUUUGAUGGAAAAGUUUGUGAGUGAGAAGAGAAUGUCGGUGUUUAUGAAGAGGCUUGGUAAGGUGGUCAGCUGGUUGAUCAACAGAUGGAAUGUAACACACACGAUGACUACCAGCAGCAACUUUUUCGCGAACAAAAUGGUAAUCUAAUUCAAUAUGUUUGGUCCGGGCAUGAAAAACUGGGUUAGAGGCCAUGUAUGUUGCACUUAAGUUAUCACAGUGAAGAAGGAUAGGAAACUGCACCUUAGUUCCAAGUUCGUGUAGUAAGAAAGCCAACCAAGUGGUUUCUACACUAGCAUGUGAAAGGGCUCUGUAUUCAGAUUCAGCACUUGAGCGAGCAAUUGUAGGUUGCUUUUUGGAGCACCAAGAGAUCAGAUUAGUGCCGAUAUAACAAAGAUAAUCAGAUGUUGAUCUGCGAGUUUCUGGACAGCCUGCCCAAUCUGCGUCAGAAUAAGCACUGAUAUGCAGUGGUUGACACUGGGGACGAAUGAACAGGCCUUGAUUAAGAGUACCCUUGAUGUAUCGAAGUAUGCGCUUCGCAGCUAGUAAAUGAGAAGUGCGCGGAUGACUCAUGAACUGGGAAAUUGAGUUAACUGCAUAGGCAAUAUCAGGACGAGUUAUCGUCAAGUAUUGAAGAGAACCAACAAUUUCCCUAAAGGCAGUGGGAUUGGCAAGUAUGUCGCCAUCAUCAGAACUGAGAGUAGUUUUUGCUGACAUGGGAGUACUUACUGGUUUAGAAAGCAGCAUAUCGUGCUUGACUAGAAGAUCAUGAGCAUACUUAAGCUGACCAAUAUGUAGUCCAUCAUUUUGAUAACUUACUUGUAAGCCAAGAAAAUAAUUCAAAGGACCCAAGUCUUUGAUGUCAAAUUCACGACCAAGUACAUGAAUGAAUCUUUCCAGAAGGUUAUUGUCGCUGCCCGUAAUCACUAUGUCGUCCACAUAUAGCAGAAAGUAGAUUGUAUGGUUGUUAUGACGGAAUAUGAAGAGUGAGGGAUCAGCUAAGCUUUGAACAAAACCAGCAGAUUUGAGGAAAGUUUUCAUACGGCGAAACCAAGCACGGGGGGGCCUGUUUUAGACCGUAUAGCGCCUUGUGGAGCUUGCAAACAUAAUUGGGUCUAGAUGGAUCAACAAAACCAGGGGUUGAGCCAUGUAAACUUCCUCCUUUAGUAAUCCAUGUAGGAAUGCAUUUUUGACAUCUAAUUGUCGAAGUGCCCAUCCCCGAGAAAGCGCAAGACUAAGGACAGUCCUUAUAGUGGCCGGUUUGAUAACUGGGCUGAAUGUUUCUUCGUAAUCGAUGCCUUGUUGUUGAUGGAAACCUUUGGCAACAAGCCGAGCUUUAUACCUUUCAAUUGUGCCAUCCGGAUUACGCUUAGUACGAAACACCCAUUGGCAGCCGAUUGUGUUGUGAGAUGGUGAUGGAGGCACAAGAGUCCAAGUCUGAUUUUUCAUCAGUGCAUUAACUUCCUCUGUCAUAGCAUUGCGCCAAACUUCAUGUUUAGAAGCCUCUGUAUAACAUGUUGGUUCAGAAUUUUCCACAGCGGUAUGAAGAGCCUGAGGAAGGGGAUGUUUUACAGCUGUAGCCUAACGUUUGUUCUGCGGAAGUGUGCCAUCUUUAGAACAAGUUAUCAUUGGGUGUUGAGCAGAUGGAAGAGGGAGCAUUUGAGCCUCUGUUGGGGCUGAUUCAGAUGUCGUCGUGGUUUCUGUUGUCACCGAUGUCGGAAUUGAGACAGUUGUAGCUUUAUUACGACGUUGAUAUGUGAGCACAGGUGGUGGAUCAUUUGAAGUUUGUGCAACUGAAUUAGUAGCUGGCAAUAAUGGUGAUUGAGACACUUCAUUAGUGCGGGGAGAAGACUCUGUGGAUGGAGUAAUGUGAUCUGGAUGUGAAAAUCCUUCUGAUGGCCUCAAGAAAGAGGCUGGGCUCGGUAAAAGAGCAAAUUCCAAUGGACCAGGUGCCUGUACCUGCAUAUUUUUGUAAGGGAAACAAGUUUCGUUAAAAAUGACAUGUCUGGACACAUAAAGACGACUAGUCUUGGGAUCAAGACAUCUAUAACCCUUAUGUUGUGGACUAUAUCCCAGGAAGACACAUUCAAUACUCCGACUGGAUAAUUUAUCAGAAACAUAUGGACCAAGAUAUGGAUAACAAGAACACCCAAAGACUCGUAGGGAAGAGUAUGAAGGAUGACUACCAUAAAGACAAUGAUGUGGAGUAUCCCAAUUUAAGACAGAGGUGGGAAGGAGAUUAAUAAGAUAUACGGAUGUUAAAACAGCUUCCCAAAGUUUGUGUGGAGCACUAGAAGUACGUAGGAGGUUACGGGCCAUGGUUGCUAUAUGUCGGUGUUUUCUCUCGGCUAACCCAUUUUGUUGAGGAGUGUGAGGACAUGAGAAACGUUGUUGAAUUCCCAGUGAGUUGCAAUAUCUAGUGAAUUCAUGAUUGACAUAUUCAUUCCCAUUGUCACUUUGUAGAAAUUUAAUGGUGAUGCCAAAGAGAUUUUGAAUUUUUGCAACCAAUGUUUUAAAGUGAGUAAGUACUUCAUUCUUCCUAUGCAUUGGAUAUAUCCAUGUAUAGCGAGAAAAUUCAUCUGUGAAAAGUACAUAAUAUUUAAAUCCAGAGGUUGAAGAAGUUGAUGAAUACCAUACAUCACUAUGGAUAACAAAAAAAAGGGGAAUCAGCAUAAGAUGUAUUAUUUUCAAAAGGCAAUUUGUGAGACUUGCUAAGAGCACAUUCAUGACAGAUUUCAUGAAAAGAAAUUUUAGAGCCAAUACUAGGACUUAAACGUGACAAGACAUCAGAUGAGGGGUGACCAAGACGAUUGUGCCAGAUGGAAGAGUGUAUAGUAGCAAGAGCUUGUGGAGUAGAAGAGGUGGAAGACAACUGAAGUUGAUAUAACCCGUCCUUACAAGGGCCCUGAAAUAAUAAACGACCAGUUUGUAAGCAAUAUAUCUGAUAAAAAUCAGGGGCAAAGAGAAAGAAGACUUGAUUAUCUUUAGUAAAACGAGCAACAGAUAACAAGUUUUUACGAAUAGAAGGAAUGUGGAAGAUAUUUUGCAAAGAAAAGUGAGAAGAUCCCAAAGAAAUUGGUAGGUUACCAGUAUGAGAAACGGGCAUUGAGUUCCCGUUACCCAUAUAAACAUUAUGAGGGCCACUGAAUUCUUGAGGAUUGUUGACAAGCAUGGAGGUCAUAUGAUGGGUGGCGCCAGUAUCUGGGUACCAAUUUGGGUCUGCAGCAAAAUGGGCUCCGGCGAAGGGUGCAACUGUCGUUGGGCCUAAGAACUUGUGAGGGCAUUGUUGUUGUCCGUGCUGGUUUGUGUGACAAUUGGAACACCACAUUGGAGCUGGGCCCAAUAUUCCAUUGGAUGGUUGAGGGCGAGGAGCCCAUGGAGACGAGUAUGGUCUAAGUGGAGAAUACGGCUGCUGGAACAGUGGUGUCUGUUGUUGCUAAAAGUUGCGGCCUGAAUUGUAGCUUCUUGAUCUGUUGAAGUUUCGACCAUUUGAAUUAUUUUUCUGAGGUUGAUUUUCACGGCGAGUAUUACUACCAUGAAACAAAGCCGUUUCUGUUCCUUGUUCCUGCUUAUGUGGUUUUUGGGCAUCAAAGGCUAAGAUGCGAGCACGUAACUCAGUAAAAUUGGGAAGAGAAGAGUGUUGUGAUAGAGCAGUGCGGAGCAUGAGGUAGUCUGGUCCAAGUCCAUGAAGUGUUGCAAGUACCAGAUCUUCAUCGGAGAUAGGCUUUUUAAUGGCUGCCAAUUGAUCAGAAAGUGACUUAGCAUGUCGAAGAUAAUCAUCGAUUGAUUGAGAACCUUUACUGAGCUCGAGUAGCUGAAGCUUGAGACUGGAUGCACUAGCAGCAGAACGUUGUGAGAAGUGAUUAGCUAAGCAUUCCCAGAUUUCUUUCGAGGUGUCAAAGCCAAUUGUGAGUUGCGAGACGCUUUCAGACAAAGAAGUAGUAAUAAGACUGACUAUUUGUUGAUCUAUGAUGAACCAAUCCUCAUAUUUUGGGUUGGGAAUUUCUUUUGCAGGUUCUGUUGGAGUCGCAGCAGUCAUGACGGUGUGAGAUGGUUCUGGUAUAGAGCCAUCAAUGUAUCCCCAGAAUUUGGCACCAUGAAGAUAGGGCUUGAUUUGUCUCAGCCAAAUUAGGUAAUUUGUUUCGAUGAGUUUGGUGAAUUGAGCUGUGUUUUGAGAAGGAAAAGAAGUAGGAGAAGAAAAUGCAGAAGCCAUGAUGAGCAAUGAUGCGAAGAGAAAGAAAAGGGAGGAGAUUUGAUUCUAAACCUAGGCUGAUACCAUGUAGAAAUGUAUUUUCCUAUAUCUCAUUGAUGUAUAAUGUGUACAAUAUAUAGCAGACUACCAAUAGCUAUCAUAGGCGACAUUACAGGCGACAUUACAUGAGAUAUUAACAAGUACAGUAAACUGAAGCAAUUACUGUAGAAUCAAAACUGAUCCUAAACUAAAGCUAUUUUUGAGUUCAUAUAAUAUCAUAUGUGUACUUUAAGUGAUAUGCUGAUUUUGUGGGAUUGCUUUAACAGUAUCAACUGAGAUGAGUUAAGUACUUUACACAAUGAUAUGUUUUGUUAGCAAGAAACAUGUAAACCACCGUAAUGAGAUUAUUAGUUGUUAAGAAAUUAUAAUUACCAGAAUGAGAAACCAACACAGUAAGAAAUUAGGAAUAAGCAUCAGCUUCAAGCAAAUUAUAUCUCAAUGUUUCUCAGUGUCACUAUGAGCUUGUGACUUGAUGCUUAAAGUUUAGGCUAAUUAUAUCUUCUUCUGAUAAAGCAGUUAUUUAAGCUUAUUGUGAUAUUUAUUUAUAGCUCCAUAUAGGAGUCUCCGUGCUCAAUCUCGAGGACUUGUUUGGGAACAGGAUGUUUGUUACGCUUGUACGACAUCACGAGUGAGGUCGUGCGCCUUGCUCUUAUGAACUUAUAUUGAUUAAAUGACUUAAUUUAAAUAUUAUGGCUUGUUAUUUUUUAAUAUAUAGGCAAUGCUUAUCGACUUUUUAAAAUUUAUUCUCCAGACCCAACACAUAAAAUUACACAUAUUGAGGAUGGACGGAUAAGAGCAUCCCGAAAAGAUUAUAUACGAUGUACCAAUUUAUAAUUUAAUAUUUAUGAUAUUUUCAAUUUUAUUCCAAACUACAUCCUGAUUAUUUCCUAACAAGUUAGGAUAUCUAAAUUCAUUCCUUAAAAGGUAGCAGUUCCAAAUUAUAAUUGAAAAGAUUUCGAUAUUUUCAAAUAUCACUCCAAACUACAUCCUAAUUAUUUCUUAACGAGUUAGAAUAUCUAAAUUCAUUCCUUAAAAAAUAGCACUUCCUCAUCUUAUGUUUAAGAAUAAAAUAUUCAUUUUCUUCUUCUUUUCAAUUUUUCCCUCCACAUUAUUUCUCUUGUAAUAGAGUUUGAUUUUAAAUAUAUACAAUAAUAAUAGGGAGUACAAGAAUUGUUGUAUGUAAUUUAGUACUCUCUCCGUCCUAACCAGUUAUAUACAUUUGGUUGGGACACGGAGACCAAGAAAAAGUGUAAAAAAUGAGUAAAGUUGAUAAAAAGUGAGUAUAGUGGUGGGACUCAUUUAUAUUUAAUAAUAGAUUUGAGAUGGUGGAGGAAAUUAGUUAGUGUAAUAGUGUUUAUAUUAUUAUAAAAUGGAGAUGGUGGAAGAAAGUAGUUAGUAUAAUGAUGUUUUAUAUUAUAAAUAUUUACUAUUUAUGGAAUGUAUACAAUGGGGGGACGUCCCAAAAUAGAAACUAUAUACAAAUGAAUGGGACGGAGGAAGUAUAAAUCCUAAUCUAUUGUAAGUUAAAUUUAUUAUGCUCAAGAAUAAAAUGUUUAUUUUCUUCUUUUUCACUUUCUUCCCUCCUUUUUUCAAAUUUUUUUCUUUCUAAUAGAGGUUGAUUUUAAACAUAUAAUAAUAGCAAAGAGUACAAGAAUUGUUCGAGUUGUAAUUUAAUAUAAUAUCCUAAUCUGCUUUAAUUUAAACAUCUUAUUAUAUGUUUAAGAACUUACUUGGGGGAUCGCCCUUAGAGAUCCGGGAUGUCAGAUUCAUAUGCUGGUUUUUCUUUUAGAACUUGAGUUAUUAGAUUGGAGUGUUUUAUUAUUUAUUUUAUUCGUAUAGCAAACUGAAGCUGAAUAUUUCAGCAUUGUCAACUAGAGCAUAGAAUUUCAAAAACUUAUGAAAAGCAUACCAGGGAAACUUGAGGUUACGAGCUGAAUACCGCUGGAAAACUUGAGGAAUGUACACAAAUAGGUUCCACUGUGUUGCCUUAAUCUUGCAUCUUAUUCUAUAAAAAACAACAAAAAAGUUCCACCCAGCUGACAUUAAAGACCUGGGCUGACUAGUCUGAUCAGCCGUUCAAGUUCUUUAUUUGCGAGCACUGGCCAGAUGAAGGUUUCUGUAAUGCACUGAGAAGUCUGCAGACAUCAGAAUCAGACGACCUCAACUAAGUAGAUUAUACAAUUUCAACUAAGUAGCUUAGUUUUUGAAAUGGACUACUAUCCUGCAGCAUUAGCCAAUUCAAGACUACUUAAUUCUUGAUAACACUGCUAACUGAAGUAACUAUGGAAUGAAAUCCAUACACAUAUAAGCUCUUUAUCUCAUUGCGUUGAUAAUUCAAAACUGCAGUUAAACUAUAUUAAGCCUUUUAGUUACUUCACGUAAUAAAAUUAAGAUAAAAACAUUCUAUAAACAAAAAGUCGAUGUAGUGCAGAGAAGCUCCAUUCUUAAAUUUAAAUUUAACAAAAUUAUGUCAAUAAACACCCAAUCAUUUGCAAUCAGUCAGACAAGAACAGCAAAAUUAACAAUGACAUUUGAAAUGAAUACUGCCAGGGUUGCAGACCCUAGAAAUAAAAAUGUUGGCAAAUGGAAAAUUAUUUACCUUAGCAAUCUCUCACUCUGUUAGACAAAUGGAAAAUACUUAUUAUGCAGAGCAAGAAAAGCAGGAUCCUGUUCUUGUGAUUUAAGUAGGACACUUAUUAUAUCUACUAAAAAAAAUUCCGCACAUGUCUGCAUGUGAGAAAAUAACAUUACAAUAUGUACUGUAACUCUCAAUAGUUGCUUUUAAACCUACAAAAAUGCUGGCAAAAUCGAGAAGAUUAUGUACCUCAGAACUCUCUCCUUCGUUACACCUACAGCAAGUACUUCUUGCACAAUGCAAGCAGAGUAGGAUCCUGUUCUUGCACAUCAAGUAAAUCCAGUAAACCAGAUGCAGUAGAUGCGUCUGCUGCAAAGCCGCGACCAAACAUUUCAUCUAGGAGUACACCUGCUUCAUAGUAAUUCUUAUUCUGUAAACAACCGCGGAUAAGCAUGUUGUAUGUGACAUCAUUAGGAAAGCAAUCAUUAGCUUCCAUUUCCCUGAAUAGUUCAUUUGCUUCAUCCAAUAACCCUUCAUGACAAUAUGCUUGGAUCAUCACUGUGUAUGUCUUGACAUUAGGUCGCAAACCUUUCGCAGGAAGGUUGUCAAAAAGGCUUCUUGCAUUCUCGAGAUGUCCAUUUUUGCUNNNNNNNNNNNNNNNNNNNNNNNNNNNNNNNNNNNNNNNNNNNNNNNNNNNNNNNNNNNNNNNNNNNNNNNNNNNNNNNNNNNNNNNNNNNNNNNNNNNNNNNNNNNNNNNNNNNNNNNNNNNNNNNNNNNNNNNNNNNNNNNNNNNNNNNNNNNNNNNNNNNNNNNNNNNNNNNNNNNNNNNNNNNNNNNNNNNNNNNNNNNNNNNNNNNNNNNNNNNNNNNNNNNNNNNNNNNNNNNNNNNNNNNNNNNNNNNNNNNNNNNNNNNNNNNNNNNNNNNNNNNNNNNNNNNNNNNNNNNNNNNNNNNNNNNNNNNNNNNNNNNNNNNNNNNNNNNNNNNNNNNNNNNNNNNNNNNNNNNNNNNNNNNNNNNNNNNNNNNNNNNNNNNNNNNNNNNNNNNNNNNNNNNNNNNNNNNNNNNNNNNNNNNNNNNNNNNNNNNNNNNNNNNNNNNNNNNNNNNNNNNNNNNNNNNNNNNNNNNNNNNNNNNNNNNNNNNNNNNNNNNNNNNNNNNNNNNNNNNNNNNNNNNNNNNNNNNNNNNNNNNNNNNNNNNNNNNNNNNNNNNNNNNNNNNNNNNNNNNNNNNNNNNNNNNNNNNNNNNNNNNNNNNNNNACACCUACGGCGAGUACUUCUUGCACAAAGCAAGCAGAGCAGGAUUCUGUUCUUGCACAUCAAGUAAAUCCAGUAAACCAGAUGCAGUAGAUGCGUCUGCUGCAAAGCCGCGACCAAACAUUUCAUCUAGGAGUACACCUGCUUCAUAGUAAUUCUUAUUCUGUAAACAACCGCGGAUAAGCAUGUUGUAUGUGACAUCAUUAGGAAAGCAAUCAUUAGCUUCCAUUUCCCUGAAUAGUUCAUUUGCUUCAUCCAAUAACCCUUCAUGACAAUAUGCUUGGAUCAUCACUGUGUAUGUCUUGACAUUAGGUCGCAAACCUUUCGCAGGAAGGUUGUCAAAAAGGCUUCUUGCAUUCUCGAGAUGUCCAUUUUUGCUUAGUCCAUUAAUCAGAAUAGUGUAAACAUGUACAUUAGGAACUAACCCACGGGAUUCCAGUAUUUGAAAAAAGGAUAGUGCUUCAAAUACAUAACAAUUCUGGCAAAGACCAUGCAACAAGAUACUGCAUGUCACUUUAUUUAACUCAACACCUUGGUUAAUCAUCUUUUCCUUAAAAAAUUCACGUGCUUCAACAUGUCUACCCGCAUGAAAAAAACCUUGCAGUAUAGUACUGUAAGUCUCAAUAGUUGGGGCUAAACCUUCAGAGGGCAUAUGUUGAAAAAGAGCUAUUGCUCUGUCCACUUUCUUCUUUCUACAGUACCCGUUGAUCAGAAUAUUAUAGCUAAGAGUAUUAGGCAGUAUUCCCUUUCUAGUCAUGCUUUCGAACACUACUAAUGCUUUAUCAACCUUUCCCCGCAAGCAGUAUCCAUCCAUUAGUGAGCUGUAAGUGACUACAUCAGGAUAAUGGCCUCUUUGAAUCAUCAACUCUAUCACAUCCUCUGCAUCUUCAAUCAUUCCUUCCUUGCAAUACGCAUCAACCAAUAUAUUGUAAGUAAAAACAUCUCGAGAAAUGUUCCUAACAUCCAUCUCCUUGAGCAAUUGUUUGACAUCAUGCCAUCGAUUAAUGUCACACAGACCUUGAACUAAGGAGUUGUAGGUUAUGACAUCUGGGGAUAUGCCUUUCCUUGUCAUUUGGUGGAGAAGACCCAAUGCUUGAUCAACUAAUCUAUGUUUACACAAACAAUCAAUAAGUGUGGUGUAAGUUACGGUAUCAGGCUUGCAACCUUUCUUCUCCAUAUUUUUGAACAACUUAACAGCCACCGAAGGAUUCCCUCUCUUGCAGAUGCCGUCGAUGAUUGUGUUAUAG
This 40909-nucleotide long non-coding RNA is filed under the name Daucus carota (carrot). RNAcentral describes it as "long non-coding RNA (DCAR_LNC006033)". The record is from RNAcentral. Lineage: Eukaryota; Viridiplantae; Streptophyta; Magnoliopsida; Apiales; Apiaceae.